GGGAGUAGCUAAACAUAGCAGUCACUGAAAAUACUACUCGCCAGAGAACUACGAGCUAUUGCUUAAAACUCAAAGGACUUGGCGGUGCUUCACAUCCCCCUAGAGGAGCCUGUUCUAUAAUCGAUAAACCCCGAUAAACCUCACCAGUCCUUGCCAAUUCAGCCUAUAUACCGCCAUCUUCAGCAAACCCCAAAAAAGGGAAUGACAGUAAGCAUAAACAUAACACAUAAAAACGUUAGGUCAAGGUGUAGCUUAUGGACUGGAAAGCAAUGGGCUACAUUUCCUUACACAAGGAUAUUAUAUUAAAACACGAAAACCGACGUGCAACCGUUAGUCUAAGGUGGAUUUAGUAGUAAACCAAGAGUAGAGAGCUUGGUUGAAUUAGGCCCUGAAGCACGUACACACCGACGUAAAACCCUCAACAAGGGAGUAGCUAAACAUAGCAGUCACUGAAAAUACUACUCGCCAGAGAACUACGAGCUAUUGCUUAAAACUCAAAGGACUUGGCGGUGCUUCACAUCCCCCUAGAGGAGCCUGUUCUAUAAUCGAUAAACCCCGAUAAACCUCACCAGUCCUUGCCAAUUCAGCCUAUAUACCGCCAUCUUCAGCAAACCCCAAAAAAGGGAAUGACAGUAAGCAUAAACAUAACACAUAAAAACGUUAGGUCAAGGUGUAGCUUAUGGACUGGAAAGCAAUGGGCUACAUUUCCUUACACAAGGAUAUUAUAUUAAAACACGAAAACCGACGUGCAACCGUUAGUCUAAGGUGGAUUUAGUAGUAAACCAAGAGUAGAGAGCUUGGUUGAAUUAGGCCCUGAAGCACGUACACACCGACGUAAAACCCUCAA
RNAcentral lists this ribosomal RNA (847 nucleotides) under Taphozous nudiventris (naked-rumped tomb bat). RNAcentral's name for it is "partial 12S ribosomal RNA". The stretch from base 1 to 465 matches the Rfam family "Bacterial small subunit ribosomal RNA", at positions 801 to 1533 of the family's 1533-position model. Lineage: Eukaryota; Metazoa; Chordata; Mammalia; Chiroptera; Emballonuridae. The record is from RNAcentral.